This 292-nucleotide ribosomal RNA is filed under the name uncultured bacterium. RNAcentral describes it as "partial 16S ribosomal RNA". It matches the Rfam family "Bacterial small subunit ribosomal RNA", at positions 505 to 796 of the family's 1533-position model. The record is from RNAcentral.
GUGUCAGCAGCCGCGGUAAUACGUAGGUGGCAAGCGUUGUCCGGAAUUACUGGGUGUAAAGCGCGUGUAGGCGGGAGGCCAAGUCUGCUGUGAAAUCGCUCGGCUCAACUGGGCGGGGUCGGUGGAAACUGGUCACCUGGAGGACGGUAGAGGCGAGUGGAAUUCCCGGUGUAGUGGUGAAAUGCGUAGAGAUCGGGAGGAACACCAGUGGCGAAGGCGGCUCGCUGGGCCGGUCCUGACGCUGAGACGCGAAGGCGUGGGGAGCGAACGGGAUUAGAUACCCCCGUAGUCC